UGGGGAAUAUUGCACAAUGGGCGAAAGCCUGAUGCAGCAACGCCGCGUGAGUGAUGAAGGUCUUCGGAUUGUAAAGCUCUGUCUUUUGGGACGAUAAUGACGGUACCAAAGGAGGAAGCCACGGCUAACUACGUGCCAGCAGCCGCGGUAAUACGUAGGUGGCGAGCGUUGUCCGGAUUUACUGGGCGUAAAGGGUGCGUAGGCGGAUGUUUAAGUGAGAUGUGAAAUACCCGGGCUUAACUUGGGUGCUGCAUUUCAAACUGGAUAUCUAGAGUGCAGGAGAGGAGAAUGGAAUUCCUAGUGUAGCGGUGAAAUGCGUAGAGAUUAGGAAGAACACCAGUGGCGAAGGCGAUUCUCUGGGCUGUAACUGACGCUGAGGCACGAAAGCGUGGGUAGCAAAACAGGAUUAGAUACCCUGGUAGUCCACGC
Molecule: ribosomal RNA, 429 nt
Filed under: uncultured bacterium
Lineage: Bacteria
Description: partial 16S ribosomal RNA
Rfam family: Bacterial small subunit ribosomal RNA
Source: RNAcentral